GGUAAGAGCCAUCGUGCGGUGGCUGUAGCCUGGUUCCUUGGCGUGCCCAGCGUGCGGGUGCUCCUUAUUGUCUCUAGCUCCCUUUGCAAAGAUACAGGCCAGGGGAAUUGCAGGAGUCAGUAACGAAACUGCAUCUAUGGGUUGUGGCAAAGUAGGGGAGGAGCUACUGGCAAGGGAAAAAAGGUAAGAUCCUUGUGUAGAGGGAUUUCCUCAAGGCAUUUGCAAGAUCCAGAGCAGGAGUUCUUAACGUGAGUGAUGGACUUUUUUGGGGUGUUUGAAGUCUAUG
RNAcentral lists this long non-coding RNA (286 nucleotides) under Vombatus ursinus (common wombat). RNAcentral's name for it is "lncRNA (ENSVURG00010004889.1)". Lineage: Eukaryota; Metazoa; Chordata; Mammalia; Diprotodontia; Vombatidae. The record is from RNAcentral.